ACCAUGAAGCUGGAGUUACUAGUAAUCGCAGAUCAGAAUGCUGCGGUGAAUGCGUUCCCGGGUCUUGUACACACCGCCCGUCACACCACGGAAGUUGGGGGCGCCCGAAGCCACUUAGCUAACCCUUUUGGGAAGCGAGUGUCGAAGGUGAAAUCAAUAACUGGGGUGAAGUCGUAACAAGGUACC
Molecule: ribosomal RNA, 186 nt
Filed under: uncultured bacterium
Lineage: Bacteria
Description: partial 16S ribosomal RNA
Rfam family: Bacterial small subunit ribosomal RNA
Source: RNAcentral